RNAcentral lists this ribosomal RNA (301 nucleotides) under uncultured bacterium. RNAcentral describes it as "partial 16S ribosomal RNA". It matches the Rfam family "Bacterial small subunit ribosomal RNA", at positions 509 to 807 of the family's 1533-position model. The record is from RNAcentral.
CAGCCGCCACGGUAAUACGUAGAGUGCGAGCGUUAAUCGGAAUUACUGGGCGUAAAGCGUGCGCAGGCGGCUUUGCAAGACAGAUGUGAAAUCCCCGGGCUCAACCUGGGAACUGCAUUUGUGACUGCAAGGCUAGAGUACGGUAGAGGGGGAUGGAAUUCCGCGUGUAGCAGUGAAAUGCGUAGAGAUGCGGAGGAAUACCGAUGGCGAAGGCAGCCCCCUGGGAUGACACUGACGCUCAUGCACGAAAGCGUGGGGAGCAAACAGGAUUAGAUACCCCGGUAGUCCCUGUCUCUUAUAC